This 813-nucleotide ribosomal RNA is filed under the name Triticum aestivum (bread wheat). RNAcentral describes it as "partial small subunit ribosomal RNA". The record is from RNAcentral. Lineage: Eukaryota; Viridiplantae; Streptophyta; Magnoliopsida; Poales; Poaceae.
AUGUGGGAGACUCACACGGAUUUCUUCCCAAUGGUAGAAAGGGUGUGGAAGGAUGGCACUCACUGUGGCUCGGUCAAAGAUAUGCAUGAUAAGCUGACUAGGCUGGCGGGUUCGCUAGCAAUAUGGGGAGCGUGCACCUUUGGGCAGGUUAGAAAAGAAUUACGGGAGCUCAAAAGGCGUCUGGAACAGCUAUGUUCAAUAUUGGGUAGGCAAGGCCCAUCAGACGAAGAAAGAAGGAUUGAAGCUCGAAUGAUAGAAUUUAACUACAGGGAAGAAAUCAUGUGGAGGCAGAGGUCGCGUGUGCAAUGGCUAGCUGAAGGGGAUGGGAACACAAGGUUUUUUCAUCAAAAAGCAAGCAUGCGAAGAAUAAAGAACAGAAUUGAACAAUUAACACAUGAGGAUGGGUCUCUCUACAGCAGCGAGAGUGAAGUGGGGAAUAUGACCAUAGAUUUUUAUGAAAAACUAUACAAGUCUGAAAGCACAGUUGGGAUGGAGGAAGUGCUCUCACACAUACCUUGCAAGGUUAACGCUGAUAUGAAUGCGAUGCUUGUUGCACCUUACACAUCUGCAGACAUAAAAGAAGCACUUUUUCAGAUGUUCCCACCGGAGGCACCGGGGCCGGACGGUUUUCCGGCCCAAUUUUCCCAGAAAAAUUGGGGUGUUUGUGGUGAUGAGGUGACCAAGGUGGCGUUACGUGUUCUCAAUGGCGAAGAGUCUUCGGACGUUAUUAAUAGGACGUUCAUUGUUUUGAUCCCCAAGGUAUCCAACCCAACCUCUCUCUGUCUCUCAAUUCCGACCUAUAAGCUUGUGUAA